AGUGAACGCUGGCGGUAGGCCUAACACAUGCAAGUCGAACGGCAGCACAGUAAGAGCUUGCUCUUACGGGUGGCGAGUGGCGGACGGGUGAGGAAUACAUCGGAAUCUACUUUUUCGUGGGGGAUAGCGUAGGGAAACUUACGCUAAUACCGCAUACGACCUACGGGUGAAAGCAGGGGAUCUUCGGACCUUGCGCGAUUGAAUGCGCCGAUGUCGGAUUAGCUAGUUGGCGGGGUAAAGGCCCACCAAGGCGACGAUCCGUAGCUGGUCUGAGAGGAUGAUCAGCCACACUGGAACUGAGACACGGUCCAGACGCCUACGGGAGGCAGCAGUGGGGAAUAUUGGACAAUGGGCGCAAGCCUGAUCCAGCCAUACCGCGUGGGUGAAGAAGGCCUUCGGGUUGUAAAGCCCUUUUGUUGGGAAAGAAAAGCAGCAGGUUAAUACCCCGCUGUUCUGACGGUACCCAAAGAAUAAGCACCGGCUAACUUCGUG
Molecule: ribosomal RNA, 492 nt
Filed under: uncultured bacterium
Lineage: Bacteria
Description: partial 16S ribosomal RNA
Rfam family: Bacterial small subunit ribosomal RNA
Source: RNAcentral